RNAcentral lists this long non-coding RNA (242 nucleotides) under Lathyrus oleraceus (garden pea). RNAcentral describes it as "Pisum sativum (pea) long non-coding RNA (PSAT_LNC027939)". The record is from RNAcentral. Lineage: Eukaryota; Viridiplantae; Streptophyta; Magnoliopsida; Fabales; Fabaceae.
AAGAUUAUAAGAAAAAAGUUCUCUACGACAAGAAGGUCAAGAAAAAGCUUCAACCAACACUCCGCAUGGAUGAGUUCUUUCAUGCAUCUCAAUGUAAAACAAUAAAAGAAAUAUGGGAUACGUUGGAAGUCCCUCAUGAAGGAAUCGCGAAAGUGAAAAGAUCACACACAUUAUCUCAAAAGUAUGAACUGUUCAGGACGAAAUCUGAAGAAUCAAUUCUUGACUUGCAUAAAAAGAUUCAC